ACGGUAAAAUCGGCCACCUUUACACCCCGGGAGACAUCGACGACUGCUUAAGCAAGCUGAAGCCUCUGUUGGAGAAUCGUGAACUGAGGGAAACAAUGGGGAAAGCAGCUCGUGAGGAGAUGGAGAAAUACGACUGGAAAGCCGCAACUCGAACGAUUCGCAACGAACAAUACAAUGCAGCCAUAUGGUUCUGGCGCAAGAAAAGAGCACAGUUUCUAAGACCAUUUCAAUGGCUGUUUAAACGAAUUUUCCCAUCCCCAGAAGUUAGUUAUCAGUGAAAUGCUUCAUUCAG
RNAcentral lists this unclassified non-coding RNA (292 nucleotides) under Hevea brasiliensis (rubber tree). Lineage: Eukaryota; Viridiplantae; Streptophyta; Magnoliopsida; Malpighiales; Euphorbiaceae. The record is from RNAcentral.